This is a long non-coding RNA of Dreissena polymorpha, 738 nucleotides long. RefSeq lists it as uncharacterized. Lineage: Eukaryota; Metazoa; Mollusca; Bivalvia; Myida; Dreissenidae. The record is from RefSeq and is a predicted model, not a curated record. The transcript is spliced from 3 exons.
CUGGUAUUCCUAUAGUUGAGGAACCGAAAUAUGGCCCCGCAAAGCCCAUACGUUUUCCGCCACAACAAAUCAAAUUUUACAUUUACGACACUUCGCUUUACAUGUUCAUUGAAACAUCUGGCAUUCACGGCAUACCUUUGGUACACGAUGACAAUUCCAUAUUUGUCAAUAAAACAGUCGAAAUAUCGUUCAAUCCAUUCUCUACAAAAGCAGCAUUGUUUGGAAAGGACGGUACGUCCUACCUGCGCAUAGAUGGUCAAAUAAUUCGCAUAUCGGACGAGUCAGCGUGCACGUGGUUCGAGUGUCAAAUGAAUAGCACAGACAAUAUCUUCAAGGUCUACGGCAAGUAUUAUCUGUUACACUUAACAUAUUAUUUGAAAUGUAUGGCGUUCUUUUCAAAUAGAUGAAAUGAUAAGCAUGUACUUAGAUGGUUACAUGCACAAUUAUCCGUUGUUUUACUCGUUUGAGCACAACGUACUCAAGAUGAGCUUUAAUGAACGCCUUUUGUACGCCUUGAAUUUUGCGCUUUUGAAGCGUCAGCAUUUACCUUGUUAUUGGACACAGCUAGUGUCCGAUCUUCAUACAACUUAGUCGGAUGAUUUUCCCUAAUAGUAUAUUGGCCGUUUUCGACACUAUGUCAUGUGAGGUAAAAUACUAGGUCACAGGGUCAAAUCUGAGGGGAAAAAAUCACCCUAUAAGUCAUAUUCACAGUCUAAUCUUCGUGAAACUUGGUCUGAA